CCUUUGAAAAUGGAGCUACUGUAGUUGGCCUAUUCAAUGGUUAGAGAUGCCACACAAGGUCAUAAGCUCUGAAACACACAUCAAAGACAGGUGGUGCUCCAGCUACUAAGAGCUCACAAAGACCAGAUUACCAUCAGAAAUGGCCAGAUUCAGACCCAGCCGGAGCCAGAGCUUGACUCUUAACCGUCGAAGACGUCGUGGAAGGAGCCGUGGAGGUGGAUCAGGAAGGAGGCGGAGAAGACGAGGCCAUGGUAAAAGAAAAGGGCAUAAGCAUCAUGGUCACAGAAGAGGAAGAAGAAGGCAAAGACACCACUAAACCUCUCCCAUUUUGAUGUCUGUGCCCUUGAUUUCCAGUUCAUUCACCUCACAAAGCCUCUGCUGAAGAAAAAUGAAACAGAACAUUCCUUCCACUGAAACAUGCAAGAACAAUUCCAAGAAUCAGGGAGCCUUGAAGAAUUUUGACUUUACCACCUGUCAAUAAAUGCUGACAUUUCA
Non-coding RNA from Pogona vitticeps (central bearded dragon), 495 nucleotides. The record is from RefSeq and is a predicted model, not a curated record. NCBI's taxonomy places the organism in Eukaryota, Metazoa, Chordata, Lepidosauria, Squamata, Agamidae.